Molecule: ribosomal RNA, 450 nt
Filed under: uncultured bacterium
Lineage: Bacteria
Description: bacterial SSU rRNA
Rfam family: Bacterial small subunit ribosomal RNA
Source: RNAcentral
GUGGGGAAUAUUGGACAAUGGGCGAAAGCCUGAUCCAGCCAUGCCGCGUGUGUGAAGAAGGUCUUCGGAUUGUAAAGCACUUUAAGUUGGGAGGAAGGGCAGUAAGUUAAUACCUUGCUGUUUUGACGUUACCGACAGAAUAAGCACCGGCUAACUUCGUGCCAGCAGCCGCGGUAAUACGAAGGGUGCAAGCGUUAAUCGGAAUUACUGGUCGUAAAGCGCGCGUAGGUGGUUUUGUAAGUUGGAGGUGAAAUCCCCGGGCUCAACCUGGGAACUGCCACCAAAACUGCAUGACUAGAGUACGGUAGAGGGUAGUGGAAUUUCCUGUGUAGCGGUGAAAUGCGUAGAUAUAGGAAGGAACACCAGUGGCGAAGGCGACUACCUGGACUGAUACUGACACUGAGGUGCGAAAGCGUGGGGAGCAAACAGGAUUAGAAACCCCUGUAGUCC